Molecule: ribosomal RNA, 593 nt
Filed under: uncultured Pseudozyma
Lineage: Eukaryota; Fungi; Basidiomycota; Ustilaginomycetes; Ustilaginales; Ustilaginaceae
Description: eukaryotic LSU rRNA
Rfam family: Eukaryotic large subunit ribosomal RNA
Source: RNAcentral
GCAGCUAGACGGCGUACGCCGACUAGCGACACAGGAGCCAAGUGGGGCUGUUACAGCUUUUCCUCCGCUUAUUGAUAUGCACGGACCUGCAUAAUUCCCUGGGAAAAGGGGACCAUAAAGGGGGAUAAUCCCGACCAUGGCAUGGAGCGCCCGAGGCUUUGUGAUUCGCUUUCUAAAAGUCGAGUUGUUUGGGAAUGCAGCUCAAAUGGGAGGUAAAUGCCUUCCAAGGCUUAUAUUGGGGAGUGACCGAUAGCGAAAAGUAAUGUGAUGGAAAAAUGAAAAGAACUAUGAAAAGAAAGUUAAACAGUACGUGAAAUUGCCAAAAGGGAAGGGUAGGAGGCUUGAAAUGCGUUCUGGGAUUCCGCCUUGCACUUGCUUGGUGUCCUUCCCAGAUGGUAGGGCAACGUCGGUUUUGGGCGCUGGAAAAGGGCGGAAGGAAUGCGCUCCCUCUCGUGGUGUGUUCUUCCUAUUACUGGAUACAGUGACCGAGACCGAGGACAGCCUAUACUCGCAAGAGCGUGCCUUCGGGCUCCUUCACUAUUACGGCGUCGCAUAAUGGUCCUCUACCACCCGUCUUGAAACACGGACCAUUU